This 1187-nucleotide long non-coding RNA is filed under the name Delphinapterus leucas (beluga whale). Its description in RNAcentral is "lncRNA (ENSDLEG00000018233.1)". The record is from RNAcentral. Lineage: Eukaryota; Metazoa; Chordata; Mammalia; Artiodactyla; Monodontidae.
GCGACCCAACUCCGGGAGAGUCUGCCUGAGCGCCCAGUGUCUAAACUCCGGAGGGCCAGAGCUGCUGGCCCGGCGCAGCUGGGGUGCCAGGCUCCGCGCUUCGGCCGGCAGAGUGAGUCUGCCGAGUUCCGCGAACGGAACCGGGAGGAUGUGAGACCUGUCCCUGAAGCCCGUUCGCGCUUCCCUAAUGAAUAGAGGGCAAAACAGCUGGAGAAGCAGUCUUAUUGCUCAAAAGGAAGUGUUGAUACAUCUCGGAGCUUUGAGCGUGGGAGAUGACGGGCCCAGCUUUAUGCCACUUAAAGUGGUAACAUGGUUGAUGGAGAACAGACCAAGGAGACUUCGAUCAGCUCAUUCUUUAAGGGAAGUUUCAGCAAAUGUUCACCAAGAUUAGCCAAUGGGAUUGAGAGGAGAAGACCCUCAAGUAAGUAGUGUGGAAACAGCAGUCAAACUGUGCUCUUGGAAUUUCUUUUUUACUGGUUCAAAUGUAACCCACACAGCAGUGGGUGGGAAAUAGCCCUAAACUGCUACUCCCACCAGGAUUCCCCAGAAAGGAUGUUUAACUCCCAGAGUUAAACCUUAAGGCCUGUGUUUCUACACUGGGGUGAAAAGGCCAAUUUCAGCUCACACCCCAAGAUGGAAGUCACUUUUUCUGCUCAAGAGAACAUAGUUCAAGAUUUCCCUCCUAUUACCACAGAACAAACAGAAAAUAGAACUGCCCAACUAGAGGGAAAAGAGAUUUUAUUGAAGAAAAAGGAAGUAAAUAAAUAAAAAUUCCCAUGUAAUAUGUAACUGAUGUCAGAUUUCUUUGCAGUGCUUAAUUUUAUACUUAAAGGGACUUUGGGGCAGUCAUGUAAAAAGAAUGAUAACUUCCUGGUGGGAAAAAAAAAAGGACUGAAAGUCUAAAUGCAAGAUCCCAAAUAUCCUUGUGCUGGGGAGGUGUCACUACAACAAAAAGAUGUGUUUUGAUUCUACUGAAACACUGAUCACUGUAAGUUUUUACUCAUAAGACAUGGCUAGCAGCAGAGGGAAAACUAGCUCUCAUUUUUAUUCUAUGGAAUGCCUUGACUCUCUCACUGUCUAUCUCUUCCCCUUUCUCUUAUACUUUGCUCUCUCCCUCAGCUUUUUUUUUUCUGUUUUCUCUUUCUCUUCUGUUUCCCUUCGUAUCACUUCUGUCCACUCCCACUUCU